GACGAACGCUGGCGGCGUGCUUAACACAUGCAAGUCGAACGGUGAAGCGAGUGCUUGCACUCGUGGAUCAGUGGCGAACGGGUGAGUAACACGUGAGUAACCUGCCCAUCACUCUGGGAUAAGCACUGGAAACGGUGUCUAAUACUGGAUACGACCAACCCUUGCAUGGGGUGUUGGUGGAAAGAUUUAUCGGUGAUGGAUGGACUCGCGGCCUAUCAGCUUGUUGGCGGGGUAAUGGCCCACCAAGGCGACGACGGGUAGCCGGCCUGAGAGGGUGACCGGCCACACUGGGACUGAGACACGGCCCAGACUCCUACGGGAGGCAGCAGUGGGGAAUAUUGCACAAUGGGCGAAAGCCUGAUGCAGCGACGCCGCGUGAGGGAUGACGGCCUUCGGGUUGUAAACCUCUUUCAGCAGGGAAGAGGCGAAAGUGACGGUACCUGCAGAAGAAGCACCGGCUAACUACGUG
RNAcentral lists this ribosomal RNA (469 nucleotides) under uncultured bacterium. RNAcentral describes it as "partial 16S ribosomal RNA". It matches the Rfam family "Bacterial small subunit ribosomal RNA", at positions 28 to 507 of the family's 1533-position model. The record is from RNAcentral.